Molecule: transfer RNA, 65 nt
Filed under: Modiolus modiolus (northern horsemussel)
Lineage: Eukaryota; Metazoa; Mollusca; Bivalvia; Mytilida; Modiolidae
Description: tRNA-Leu
Source: RNAcentral
AGUGAGCUGGCAGAGUUAAUGUGUUUAGUUUAGGAUUAAAAGAUGGGUGGGUAGCCCGUUCGCUG